AAUCAAGUUUGAAUGAAAUUGAAAAGAAAAGAUAAAAAGAAAACCUAUGAAGAAGCAUUCUCAACUCAAGGAAUGAUUUUUUUCUUACUAGAAUUGGACGUUCCCCGGGGAUCAAAAUCAUCAAAUUCAUCAUCAUAAUUAUUUGAAGGGGUGCUUGUGCU
Long non-coding RNA from Hibiscus syriacus, 161 nucleotides. RefSeq lists it as uncharacterized. NCBI's taxonomy places the organism in Eukaryota, Viridiplantae, Streptophyta, Magnoliopsida, Malvales, Malvaceae. The transcript has 3 exons. The record is from RefSeq and is a predicted model, not a curated record.